Molecule: long non-coding RNA, 351 nt
Filed under: Nicotiana benthamiana
Lineage: Eukaryota; Viridiplantae; Streptophyta; Magnoliopsida; Solanales; Solanaceae
Description: long non-coding RNA (NBEN_LNC007098)
Source: RNAcentral
GUAGACCACUAAUAAGUAUCGAAUUCGACCUCUCGUAUUUACUUCUUCAAGAUUAGAUGGGAUACUUGCUGAGUACAGGUUAUUUUCGUACUCGUACUACACUUACUGUGUAUUUUUGUUGCACGGGUUUAUGAGUGACUAGUGGCUUAGUAGCAUAGCGGCAUGGUUGAUACGUAGACUUAGGUGAGCUGCACUUAUCGAGACGACAUGCAACCAGUAGAGUCUCCUUCAGAGUAUUGUACUAUAUUUUCAUUUCUGACCAUUUUGUAUACCGGACAAUUAUUGUAUUUCAUUUCAUUUCCUAGGAAAUGUUCAUGCACUUGUGACACCGGUAUCUGGAAUAUCUAUGGG